Molecule: long non-coding RNA, 1287 nt
Organism: Trifolium pratense (red clover)
Lineage: Eukaryota; Viridiplantae; Streptophyta; Magnoliopsida; Fabales; Fabaceae
Exons: 5
Source: RefSeq, a predicted model, not a curated record
CUUCUCACCCAAUCAAUUGAACCCAAAAUUCCUCACUCAAUCAAUUUAAACCUAAAAUCCUUCAUCAUUGUUCACUCACCCUCACUCACUCUCCAUUAUUUUCCUGAUCAAUUGAACCCAAAAACUGUCACAGUUGUCUUUCGUCGUCACGCAACCUCAAUCACGAACUCGUUGAAACCCUAAACCCCAAAAUCUUAGAACUUGUUGAAACCAUAAUUCAUAACCCAGAACUCGUUGAAACCCUAAAACCCUCUUCCCCCAUCAUUCACCAUCGUCCAUCGUUCCAGAACUUGUUGAACCCAGAAAAUCUUCAUCAUUCUCCAUCAUUCAUUUCAAUUGAACCUCGUCUCAUCAGAACGUCUUUAGAUUUUGAACAUCUCUGUCAAAUACUACAAGUGUUAUGCAGCAGUUUCAUCUGCCAGUGUGAAAGUUAAGUUGAACCCAUCUCAUGGAAAAAAGGAGAUUUAGCUGCAGCGAAGAACUGCCUCAAUCUUCUAUUAAACAAGGUUGUUAUCUUUGAGAAAAGAAGCGAAAUAGGAAGAGAGAAGGGCUACAGAGAAAAUCAAACAAAAGUUGGAUGAACAGAAGGCUGAAAUCAGUGCAUUUAAGGAGAAAGUUUCACAAAUUGAUGUCUUGAAGAAUAAAAUUGAAUACAAAUGCAAAAUGCUACUGAAAACUAGGUAAAAUUUCAUUCUUGUUCAUCACAAACUUAAUCAGAAUAAUAAUUAUAAUAUUUACGGUUGGUCCAAUUGGUCCAAAUGUUUUAUGUUCACAUUUCAAUUGUAAAGCAUGAUUUUGCAAAAGAUUUAGUUCAAUUUGUCAAUCCUUUUUGUUUCUAUCUAAUUUGAGUACACUACAUGAUGUGAACAUAGAGGAAGAGAAUAGCGUGCAACUCUUUAUCAUUUGGAAGUUGCCUUGGUGAUUUAGAUAUUAGAAUUGGAGAAUAACCCAGGUAAAUGCAAUACUCUGGUUGUGUUCAUCCCAAGUACUCUACCAAUUAUCCAAUAAUUAAGUGUUGUCUCACAUUUCUAAUAUGAUUUUUUAUAGUUGUGAAUUUGUAUGUGUGUGGAAUAAGGAAUACCUUUGUAAUGUUAUUUUAUGCAUUUAAAUUAGAUACAAUAUCAGACCAAAUUAUGGAGCAAUAUUGAUUGUUGUGUGCUUGGGUUGGAUUUUCCAUACUAGAGUUGUUGGGUGCAUCUGAGGUUAAAUAUGACAUGUAUUGGCAUCUACAUUGGUAUAUUUUGGCAUUUGCAUGGUGUUACUUCUCUAUGCAGGUUGCAAUUUGGA